GGGUUGAUAGCUCAGUUGGUAGAGCAAGCGACUGAAAAUCGCUGUGUCGCUGGUUCAAUUCCAGCUCUUCCCACCA
This 76-nucleotide transfer RNA is filed under the name Agrobacterium salinitolerans. RNAcentral describes it as "tRNA-Phe". It matches the Rfam family "tRNA". Rfam says of the family: Transfer RNA (tRNA) molecules are approximately 80 nucleotides in length. Their secondary structure includes four short double-helical elements and three loops (D, anti-codon, and T loops). The record is from RNAcentral. Lineage: Bacteria; Pseudomonadati; Pseudomonadota; Alphaproteobacteria; Hyphomicrobiales; Rhizobiaceae.